Molecule: ribosomal RNA, 943 nt
Filed under: Psychrobacter sp.
Lineage: Bacteria; Pseudomonadati; Pseudomonadota; Gammaproteobacteria; Moraxellales; Moraxellaceae
Description: bacterial SSU rRNA
Rfam family: Bacterial small subunit ribosomal RNA
Source: RNAcentral
UCGAGUCUGGGCGGCACACCUUUUUAACUUGUAUUCCAGGUUUAACCGGCCGACCAGGGUAGGUUAUUAUUAGAAUUCCCCUUUGUUUGGGGGAUCCCCCCGGGAAACUUGUUUUUAUCCCGCCUUUCGCCUUCGGGGGAAAGGGGGCAGUUACUCGCUCUCGUUUUUAGAUGAGCCUAAGUCGGAUUAGCUAAAUGGUGGGGUAAAGGCCUUCCCAUGGCGACGAUUUGUAGCUGGUCUGAGAGGAUGUUCAGCCACCCCCGGGAUUGAGACACGGCCCGGGAUUCCUACGGGAGGCAGCCAGUGGGGAAUAUUGGCCAAUGGGGGAAACCCUGAUCCAGCCAUGCCGCGUGUGUGAAGAAGGCCUUUUGGUUGUAAAGCACUUUAAGCAGUGAAGAAGACCAUACGGUUAAUACCCGUAUGCGAUGACAUUAGCUGCAGAAUAAGCACCGGCUAACUCUGUGCCAGCAGCCGCGGUAAUACAGAGGGUGCAAGCGUUAAUCGGAAUUACUGGGCGUAAAGCGAGCGUAGGUGGCUUGAUAAGUCAGAUGUGAAAUCCCCGGGCUUAACCUGGGAACUGCAUCUGAAACUGUUAAGCUAGAGUAGGUGAGAGGGAAGUAGAAUUUCAGGUGUAGCGGUGAAAUGCGUAGAGAUCUGAAGGAAUACCGAUGGCGAAGGCAGCUUCCUGGCAUCAUACUGACACUGAGGCUCGAAAGCGUGGGUAGCAAACAGGAUUAGAUACCCUGGUAGUCCACGCCGUAAACGAUGUCUACUAGUCGUUGGGUCCCUUGAGGACUUAGUGACGCAGCUAACGCAAUAAGUAGACCGCCUGGGGAGUACGGCCGCAAGGUUAAAACUCAAAUGAAUUGACGGGGGCCCGCACAAGCGGUGGAGCAUGUGGUUUAAUUCGAUGCAACGCGAAGAACCUUACCUGGUCUUGACA